Non-coding RNA from Enterococcus sp., 207 nucleotides. The record is from Rfam. NCBI's taxonomy places the organism in Bacteria, Bacillati, Bacillota, Bacilli, Lactobacillales, Enterococcaceae.
AAUGAUUCGUCGAUAAAGAGAGUACUUCAUUACAAAUUAUUCAAGCGAUUUCGGGUAGGUGGAAGCCGAAAAUGAUUAAAUGAAGGAAGCGCACUUUUAAGAAUCUGCGUAGGCAGACGGCUAUCUACCGUUAAUAGAUUAAGUGGGUCCGUCAUUUAAAAAGAACGGACAAUUAGAGUGGUACCGCGGGGAAAUCUCGUCUCUGGU